This 253-nucleotide ribosomal RNA is filed under the name uncultured bacterium. RNAcentral's name for it is "partial 16S ribosomal RNA". It matches the Rfam family "Bacterial small subunit ribosomal RNA", at positions 524 to 776 of the family's 1533-position model. The record is from RNAcentral.
UACGGAGGGUGCAAGCGUUAUCCGGAUUCACUGGGUUUAAAGGGUGCGUAGGCGGGUUGGUAAGUCCGUGGUGAAAUCCCCAAGCUUAACUUGGGAACUGCCGUGGAUACUAUCAAUCUUGAAUAUCGUGGAGGUAAGCGGAAUAUGUCAUGUAGCGGUGAAAUGCUUAGAUAUGACAUAGAACACCAAUUGCGAAGGCAGCUUACUACACAGUUAUUGACACUGAGGCACGAAAGCGUGGGGAUCAAACAGG